CAGAGCCUCUCAGUGAGACACUCUGUCUUUUGGACACCAAGUUGUCAUCAAAAAUCUCACCAUCACUUCUUCACCUGCUCAUGUGGUGCCCAGCUGUGCCUUGUUGGCCCUGCACUUGCCUGUAGAAUGAGAUUUGCUGCUCAGAGGUUGGACUUCAAAUGAGGCGAGGAGCUGGAGAAGAGACAUCUUGUGUGGAAGAGGCUGGACUGUCCUCAUGGACUUACCUCCCAAGGUUACAGGCUGAUGUCAUAAACUCUUUCUCUAAUGGAAAACCAGUUAGGAAGCAGAAAGAGGAGAGACUGCAAAGCUGGGGGCAGCAAUACCAGCUUGUGACCCAACACUGACUGAUGUGCUGGAACUGUGAACUUUGACUGUAGUAUCCUUUCUCCCAAAGGUACUAAUUUUGCAGGAUGUAAGUAAGGACUUGUCUGUCCUUUAGGGAGACCCCUCUA
This is a long non-coding RNA of Corapipo altera (White-ruffed manakin), 452 nucleotides long. RefSeq lists it as uncharacterized. The record is from RefSeq and is a predicted model, not a curated record. Lineage: Eukaryota; Metazoa; Chordata; Aves; Passeriformes; Pipridae. The transcript is spliced from 3 exons.